Molecule: microRNA precursor, 74 nt
Filed under: Tursiops truncatus (common bottlenose dolphin)
Lineage: Eukaryota; Metazoa; Chordata; Mammalia; Artiodactyla; Delphinidae
Description: miRNA (ENSTTRG00000024670.1)
Source: RNAcentral
GGUUGGUCAAAAAGUUCAUUUGGGUUUUUCCAUAAGAUCUUAGGGAAAAACUCGAAAGAAAUUUUUGGCCAACC